AAAUUAAACAAAAAAGGAAACCUAAAAGAUAAUUCCCAGUCAAAUCAAACAGGCCGGCCAUUUAUUACUUCCAUCGUCUUUUCAUGUCCAUCAGUUGCGCCUGUUUAGAGAUAACCUUUCCCAAAGAUUUCAAUGUACUUGUUAUCUUUAACUACUCACUUCUCCAUCCCAAGACGAUUUCAAUCCGGAUUUUCUCUCCAUCUUCCUUCCAGAUCUAUUGCUCUAUGGAUCAUCAUUUUCCCCACCAGGGAGGGAAUAUUUUCAUGAAGAACUGUCUUUGAGGCUUUUAAAGCACCCAUCUGGUCCCGAACUACUAAACCUGAGGCCGAUCUGGAAUUUCUCUUGUCGAAGGCUGCAUCAAACUGAACUGUAAUACCCUCCAUCACCCCUGUUUGACCAUGAGCUCUUUCGAUAAUAGAGUUCCAUAUAAACCAUGGAGCGCAGCAAAAGAUCUGACACUGUUCUUUUGUACUCAUUUCGAAAACCCAGGUUAACCAUUCCCAGAAAAUUUGAUUCAUAUGAAUUAUAGCCCAAGAGAGGUUGAUGCUUUGCCAUAUUUCACUGAUUGCAGGGCAUUGUCUAAAGAUAUGGUUGCUAUCUUCUUCUCUGAGACUGCACCGAGAACAUCUAUCGUUGGCGGUCACUUUCUUAUAACUUAGGUUAGCUAAUGAAAGGAAAUAGUUCCAAGAGAUUCGCCAUAUUGUUAUUGUAAUUUUUGAUGGUAGCUGUAAAUCCCAUAAUUUUCGAUGGAAAUUUUUAGUUUUGGGUUGUAAUAAAUAGCUAUUAGUAUACAAGCUGUUAUAUUGUAAUAGUUUAUAGGCACUUCUUACUGAGAAAUCCCCUUAAGGUUUUUCUUUCCACACUUGGAAGUCUGCAUGGUCUGCUUCUGCCAAAGGGAUCUGCAAGAUCUUUUGGACUAUGUCCAGUUGAAAGUCCUUCGUUCAACUCUCCAGCAAAGACCAUCAUGAAUGAGCCCCUUUGCUGCCCAGAUGCUCUUCUAGGUAAAUGAAGAAGUAAAUCUCACACUAUGCUUUCUUACUUUAGAAUGCAGAAGACUACUGAUAUACAAGAUGCGCUGACUAUAUAAAUCACAAAAAGCCAAGCGAAACAACAGAAAACCUAAAACUUCUUGCCAGAGGCGGCAGACAGAAAUGUGCCAGAGGCGGCAAACUAAAGCACAAUUUCACCUUAAACUCAUGAUUUUUUGUGGUUUUCUAUUCUUAGAAGUUUUAGCAGCAAUAAUAAAUAAGUAAUGAAUUCGUGACUGACACUGAAAAUUAGAUUUAGGGUUUUUUAUAUAUAAUUAUAGAAUAUGUAAAAGUAUAAUAAAAAUUAUAUGAGAAAUUAUUUGGUACACUGUCGGUAGAGAUUGUUGGAAAAAAUCCAGUUUAAAAAUGGUUUUCUAUUACAAUGGAAAUUUAAAAUUUUGAAAAA
Molecule: long non-coding RNA, 1434 nt
Organism: Gossypium arboreum
Lineage: Eukaryota; Viridiplantae; Streptophyta; Magnoliopsida; Malvales; Malvaceae
Exons: 5
Source: RefSeq, a predicted model, not a curated record